Molecule: long non-coding RNA, 720 nt
Organism: Peromyscus eremicus (cactus mouse)
Lineage: Eukaryota; Metazoa; Chordata; Mammalia; Rodentia; Cricetidae
Exons: 2
Source: RefSeq, a predicted model, not a curated record
CUCCAAGGAAACAAGCUAAGAGUCUUGUGACUUCGGUUCCUUCCGAACAUGGAAUUUCCCUUGGAGUGCUUUGGAGUUCCUCCCAGGUAACAGAUAUGGAUGAAAUCUCCUGACGGGCAUCAGUGAAUUUUGCCUGUUGAUUGUCCAAAAGCAGGCAGAGGAAAGGCUCCCCUACUUUUACAGAACAUUUUCAAGUAGUGAUUUUUGGUCACUGUAGAAGCUGCCACCAUGUACGCUAAUUGAGGACGCGUAUCUCCUCCGCGUUUCCAACUGAGAAGAAAUGCCAAUGGAGACAUCUGGGAAAUAAAGAAAUAUCAAGUUUAGAUUUCAAGUGGUGACAAAAUGAAGAUGUCACUAAUGCCCAGUGGAAGGCUGGCUCAUUACUCUUCUCUCCACUCACUUCCCCCUGGGCUCCGUUUUCUGCCUCCGCACCUGAGACUCAUGGUGAACAGCAAGAAUUUGCUUUUCAGAACCAUGGACAGCAGCUGGCAAGCAGCCUAGACGCCAGAGGGAGCCAGAUGAGGGGCAUGCACACAACUAAACAAAUAUUGACUGAGUACAUCCAGGGGCCAGCCGAGCUAGAUAACACCGAGAUUUGUAUUAUCCUGACCUUCAAAAACUUAAAUUUCUUCAAGUCAUCAACAUUCUUAGAUCGACAAAGCUGGAUCGGGGGCCCAUGCCUCCUGAUACUUACAAAGUAGAGAGCCCAAAGGAAAGUGA